ACAGGUUGAAAAUCACCUGCAGCUUUGCCCAUGGUCUCGGGUGAGAUUCUGCACCCAGAGCCACCAGGGACCUCAGGCCCCGACAGGC
Trichechus manatus latirostris (Florida manatee) is the source of this 88-nucleotide small nucleolar RNA. RefSeq annotates it as small nucleolar RNA ACA64. The record is from RefSeq and is a predicted model, not a curated record. NCBI's taxonomy places the organism in Eukaryota, Metazoa, Chordata, Mammalia, Sirenia, Trichechidae. The transcript has a single exon.